RNAcentral lists this ribosomal RNA (309 nucleotides) under uncultured Planctomycetota bacterium. RNAcentral describes it as "bacterial SSU rRNA". It matches the Rfam family "Bacterial small subunit ribosomal RNA", at positions 29 to 351 of the family's 1533-position model. Lineage: Bacteria; Pseudomonadati; Planctomycetota. The record is from RNAcentral.
AAUGAACGUUGGCGGCGUGGAUUAGGCAUGCAAGUCGAGCGCGAAGUCUCCUUCGGGAGGCGGAAAGCGGCGAAAGGGAGAGUAAUGUGUGGAUUAUCUACCCCCAGGCCCGGGAUAGCUGCGGGAAACUGCAGGUAAUACCGGAUAACAUCUCCGGAUCAAAGGUGUGAUUCCGCCUGAGGAUGAGUCCACAUCCUAUUAGCUAGUUGGUGGGGUAAUGGCCUACCAAGGCAACGAUGGGUACCGGGUGUGAGAGCACGACCCGGCUCACUGGGACUGAGACACUGCCCAGACACCUACGGGAGGCAG